UACGUAGGGGGCAAGCGUUGUCCGGAAUCAUUGGGCGUAAAGCGCGUGUAGGCGGCCCGGUAAGUCCGCUGUGAAAGUCGGGGGCUCAACCCUCGAAUGCCGGUGGAUACUGUCGGGCUAGAGUGCGGAAGAGGCGAGUGGAAUUCCUGGUGUAGCGGUGAAAUGCGCAGAUAUCAGGAGGAACACCAGCGGCGAAGGCGGCCCCCUGGUCGGAUACUGACGCUGAGACGCGAAAGCGUGGGGAGCAAACAGG
This 253-nucleotide ribosomal RNA is filed under the name uncultured bacterium. RNAcentral's name for it is "partial 16S ribosomal RNA". It matches the Rfam family "Bacterial small subunit ribosomal RNA", at positions 524 to 776 of the family's 1533-position model. The record is from RNAcentral.